Molecule: ribosomal RNA, 523 nt
Filed under: uncultured bacterium
Lineage: Bacteria
Description: bacterial SSU rRNA
Rfam family: Bacterial small subunit ribosomal RNA
Source: RNAcentral
GUGUGGGAUGAAGGCCCUCGGGUUGUAAACCACUUUUGGCAGGAAAGAAAUCGCCUGUGCUAAUACCAUGGGCGGAUGACGGUACCUGCAGAAUAAGCACCGGCUAACUACGUGCCAGCAGCCGCGGUAAUACGUAGGGUGCGAGCGUUAAUCGGAAUUACUGGGCGUAAAGCGUGCGCAGGCGGUUUUGUAAGACAGAUGUGAAAUCCCCGGGCUUAACCUGGGAACUGCAUUUGUGACUGCAAGACUAGAGUGUGUCAGAGGGAGGUGGAAUUCCGCGUGUAGCAGUGAAAUGCGUAGAGAUGCGGAAGAACACCGAUGGCGAAGGCAGCCUCCUGGGAUAACACUGACGCUCAGGCACGAAAGCGUGGGGAGCAAACAGGAUUAGAUACCCUGGUAGUCCACGCCCUAAACGAUGUCAACUAGUUGUUGGGGAUUCAUUUCCUUAGUAACGUAGCUAACGCGUGAAGUUGACCGCCUGGGGAGUACGGCCGCAAGGUUAAAACUCAAAGGAAUUGACGGA